GUUUUAUUACAUUCUUCAAAACGCGACGCUUUCUACCAACAAGCUGAUGGCGCCCUUUACGGCCCUUGCAGUGACUAAUGUAGAUUUACGUGUUCAUAAUUCCCACUACUUGCGAACACACCGAUAAGGAGCGGAUGACUUGUUGAGACAAGCGCGUGACUUGUCAAGCUAAGCGCACGUGCUUGACGAAAGUAGUAGAUAAGGUAAUAAACGUCUUUCCCAAUACCAGGUAGCCAUCCUUUCGCUUAACGUCAAAAAACGCGUCCCUCGGGCGCAAUGAAGCGGCUGCUGAGCUGCAUCACGUCACCCUGUAGGGCCUAUUUUGCCACCAAUACAUAGUUCAAUUUAAUCCAAACCGAUUAAACGUGCUAGCGCAACAUUCCAGGUCAACAACAAUUUCUGGCGCAAAAAAUGCAGCAUUUAUUAGGCUGUAUGUAAUCGUGCAGGACUAUCACGUUAAAAUCAUAUUCUUACAACAUAUCGGGAGGACCAUCUAUAUAGAAAGCACCCCGUUUUUUAGAGGGCUUUCGAUGACAGCUAGCAUUGUUCGGGGGGUUCUAAUCGAGCGUAGAUCCGUUUCUGGAGGACCUACUGAAACACAGCUUGAUAACCCACGUUCCUGACCGCUAAUUUUCACUUUAAUUUGUGCGAAAACGCUUUUCCGGUAAAAGUGUCAGGCCCCGAGAUGGCGACAAAGAGGCGACGAAAGCAGCUCUUGCAACAAAUUCUAAAGGCUCAAAUAUAUUCCGUCAUUUCAAGCCAUGGAGCAACCGGCGAAGUUUGACACGUCCCGCCGGCGACUCCAACGAGGCCUAAAAUUGGGCACUCUGUACAGUUUGGUUCGUUGAACAUGGCCCGCAGCAGCGCGGCGAUCGACUAUUGCUGCAACGCAUGUGCACAAGUGCGCGGCGAGCUAGCGCUUUGCAUUUGGCGACGGAGCACACUCAGUGGAAUUGCCUGCGUGCAUGCGAAUAUAUAGACGAUCAUGCUGUCGGCCAGCACAGCUAGCGCACGUACGAUGCCCUCUGAGCUGGCAGUUUUGACGUUGGAUAUAUAGAACAUCUCAUUUCUCCCGCCUUCUGAGCGCUUUCUGUCAGGCUGCGUGUGCCGAACACUACAUCCCAGGGGUGAAUCUCCGCAUGGCUGCCGUUGGCUGUUAUUUUGCAGGCGCUCUUUCGACGCUAGCGCCGAGAUCCGCUUCAGUUACGGCCCUAGCAGGCGGGCGAUACUUUAGCACAAUGGCGCCGCACACGAUGGUUUACGUUCCCAUGGCAACAGGAAUAGCCGACGCGGGGCGCCUGCGCUCCAUAGCGCUGUCAUUUAUUUUUGUUUCCAUUGUGCCAACCCGCUUCGCUCCCUUGCCACCCUUCUCCAAUGCCAAUGAGUGGCGCACGGCACCGCGCAUUGGCAUUGUUUGCGAACUGGCGUGGUGUGCACCGUGUGUUCUUUAUGAGUUGGCACGCACGUAGUCUUUUUCAUACGUUGAUUACACCAACAUGUGCGAGAACUUAUAUAACUUCCACUUCCAACACAACAGAUCUUCGGCUUGUUUGAUAGACAUUGAUUCCUACAACAAAGAUUUUCGUACAUUUGGUAUGGCACACGCUCAGAAAAUGAACAAAAGUAAAAGAUGCAUGACACGUACGUGAAUUUUAACAACGCAAAAGUUCACAGUGUGACAAAACAAAAACAUGAAAUAAAACGCAACAAAAUGCGAAGGACGUUUCAUGUGCACACAUAUAAAAUACUUUUUUUAUAUAUUGCCCUAAAGAGCAAAGCGUAGAAGAGCUUCGAUACACGCACUGAGAUUUUGCACAAAACUGGACGACGUGCAUGACAGUCAUAGCAACUAAAUAAUCCGAAAUUUCACUUGCAAUGACAAAAUUAACGGCGUGCACAAUACGCGAAUUACAAUAAAAAGCAAAGAAUGUUUUAUGGACAACCAUACCUAAGAACAGAAGCUUCCAUAUACCUGAACAAAAGUACAUGAAAUGCAUGACAUGUUCAUUACUACUGAACAAAAUGAAAAACCAGACAUGGCGGAACAAAAAUAACAUUGUACUAAAAACAAAAAUACGCAUUGUCACAUAAUGUUGCACUUGGCCACAACUUGAGCAAUGGUGUCAAGGAGGAGCAGAAGGUAGUUAGCUUUUGGAACAGCACAUAGAAAACAUUCACAGAAAGGCCUAUUCCUCAAUCCAGGGUCAGGUAAAAGAAGCCAACAACACGGCAUUUCUUUCACCACAAAUGCAAAGCUUAGCAGUAAAAUUACGUAAAUUAAUGCACGAAGUACUACUUUGCAUACUCGCCACACCUUUGUGUAAGAAACACGAACUGCAAUUAAUCUACAUAUGGAGCACUUGCAAUGCUCAUACUUUCCAUAAUAAAAAGCGUUAUGUCUACGCAUUAAUGUUAUUCGCGCGGUUUUCUCAUUGGCAGUUACUGGGUCAAUACAUAAGCACAAACAUAUCAUAAGAAGCCAACCAACAAGGAGAGCAAGGUAAACAUAGGGGAAAUUACUUGUGCAUGCCAAUUGAAAUAAAGAAAUCAUAAAUAAAUGUCAGUGAAAGUGGAUGAAGAAACAGCUUUCCGCAGGUAGGAACGAUUCCACAUUUUCUCAUUUAGCAUGCGAUGCUCUAACCAAUGGAGCCACCGCGGCGAAAGGGCUAAAUCGGGCGCAACGGGUAAAGUCGUUAGCCUUUGUGCGCGCAUUCCUUCAAGAUUCUGUAUCAUUAUGCGCAUGCGCACCACUGUUGUCUCCCUUCGGCGAGCAAGAAAGCUUUGUAUGCGCCUGCGCAUCUGCUUUGCUUCCUUGGCGUGGUAGACGCUGGUGUUUGUGUGUGUGCGCGUGGGUGUGUAAACGUCAACGCCUUUGUGUCCUGUGCACCCGACCCAGUUGGAAAAUCCGCGCACCUGACAUCCAUCUUCCGAGUGGCGGCAGCAAGCAUGAAUAGCGUCGGCCCCCUCAUCAUCUUGGACACUGGCGUUUCGAAGAGGCUUUAAAAAUGGUCCGCAAAAGUAAUUUAGCCUUCCGUAGAAGCUUGAAGCCUUGCUGUCGCUCUCCGUCACGAAGCUUGCAGAGCGUACCGUCCUCGUAGUGAUAAAUUUAAAUGCUUUAUGUUGCUCGUCGCGUCAAUCACGCUCCGGACCUCUAGGCUAAAGCAACGACCACGCUGCUGGUUUGCCGUUUUUAACAACACUGAUGAUAUGACGCGGGUGUUCUGCUAUAAUAAAAAGGUAAAUAAAGCGAGUACUUCCGUUGUAGCACCAAAGUUUCAUCGUCAUGCCGUACUCAUUGCCCUGCAUUGUUAUUAAGCUAACAUCGCAGUCACCAUCAUGUAUACUGUAGUUACCACCAUUGUCGCUAGCACGCCAGCAUUGUCGGUAUUGCGUCAUCGUGGUGCCUUUAUCUGCGCCAUCUUCAUACUCGGGGUUCGCUUAUCGUACCGCAAGCAUCGUCGUACGCUCAUAGAGAAAGAAAUUCAACAAGAGGGGACACUCUUCAAAAACUGGCAACAGGAAACACGUCACGCCUAGUUUCAACACCAUUCGUUAGUUGACGCGAGCAUCAGAAAAAAGGAAUGUGAAAUAAACUUCCACACAACGUUUUAUUUUUUUUAUUCCUUCCCACUAAAAGUGAAAAAGUUUUGUGUGUAAAUGAACUUUUAUUUUGCAACUUUUUUUGCGUUGCCUAGCAACAAGCUAGCGGCACGCCAGACGCGCGUGCAUACGUCAUGCGCCAGACAAGCCGCAGGAGUGAGCGGGGCCGGCUGCGCAUGUGAAGCUCGCGUGCUCGGCGACCCGUCUCUUUUGGAUGUAGCCCGUUUUUGGGGCUCCCGGCGUUCUCUUAUGUUCCGUCUGCAUUUCGACACGGCAGCGCUGCACUACUGGACUACAGCAAGCUGACGGCAUCCGGUGGAGCAUCGUACGGCAACGACUGCUGCUUACCUGGUGCCACAACUUUGGAUGAAUGCAGAAGAAGCCCGUAACGAGCAUUUAUAUAGAGCAAAAUAAACAUUUCAUCAUUUCAGAAGA
Molecule: non-coding RNA, 4035 nt
Organism: Dermacentor andersoni
Lineage: Eukaryota; Metazoa; Arthropoda; Arachnida; Ixodida; Ixodidae
Source: RefSeq, a predicted model, not a curated record